RNAcentral lists this ribosomal RNA (499 nucleotides) under uncultured bacterium. Its description in RNAcentral is "bacterial SSU rRNA". It matches the Rfam family "Bacterial small subunit ribosomal RNA", at positions 28 to 520 of the family's 1533-position model. The record is from RNAcentral.
GAUGAACGCUAGCUACAGGCUUAACACAUGCAAGUCGAGGGGCAGCGCAGUGUAGCAAUACAUGGGCGGCGACCGGCGCACGGGUGCGUAACGCGUAUCCAACCUUCCCGAUACUCAGGGAUAGCCUUCCGAAAGGGAGAUUAAUACCUGAUGGUGUUUCAAUUCCGCAUGUUAAUGAAACUAAAGAUUUAUCGGUAUCGGAUGGGGAUGCGUGACAUUAGAUAGUAGGCGGGGUAACGGCCCACCUAGUCUACGAUGUCUAGGGGUUCUGAGAGGAAGGUCCCCCACACUGGAACUGAGACACGGUCCAGACUCCUACGGGAGGCAGCAGUGAGGAAUAUUGGUCAAUGGUCGGAAGACUGAACCAGCCAAGUAGCGUGAAGGAUGAAGGUUCUAUGGAUUGUAAACUUCUUUUGUUCGGGAAUAAAGUGCAGUAUGUAUACUGUUUUGUAUGUACCGUUCGAAUAAGCAUCGGCUAAUUCCGUGCCAGCAGCCGCGG